Molecule: ribosomal RNA, 162 nt
Filed under: uncultured Ralstonia sp.
Lineage: Bacteria; Pseudomonadati; Pseudomonadota; Betaproteobacteria; Burkholderiales; Burkholderiaceae
Description: partial 16S ribosomal RNA
Source: RNAcentral
GUAAUGAGCGCAGCUGAUGCAGCCUGCCGCGUGCGUGAUGACGCCUUCGGGUUGUAACUGCUUUUGUACAGUACGACAGACUCUGGUUAAUACCUGGGGUCGAUGACGGUACCGUAAGAGAAGCACCGGCUACUACGUGCCAGCAGCCGCGGUAAUAGGCUG